RNAcentral lists this unclassified non-coding RNA (216 nucleotides) under uncultured fungus. RNAcentral's name for it is "sequence contains ITS1, 5.8S rRNA gene". The record is from RNAcentral. Lineage: Eukaryota; Fungi.
UUAUUUAUUGUGUUUUUCACUCGGACAUCACUAAUAAGCAGAUUUUAAUGGGCCUCUGGCGGGCGCUCGCCGGUUUGUACGCGGCGCGAGAGGCCCUCGGGCCCGCCAAAGCAACAAAGGUUGGUACACAAAGGGUGAAGAGUUAGGGGCCGAGACCCCCGGGAGCGCGAAGCCCCUCUCUCAGUAAUGAUCCUUCCGCAGGUUCACCUACGGAAA